Molecule: long non-coding RNA, 1474 nt
Organism: Cotesia glomerata
Lineage: Eukaryota; Metazoa; Arthropoda; Insecta; Hymenoptera; Braconidae
Exons: 6
Source: RefSeq, a predicted model, not a curated record
UUUAUUUAUAAAUCAUUGCUUUGAGCACGAUAGCAAUUAUUAGGGUGAUAAUUCCGUAAAUCGAGCUACUGAAUAGACAUAUCCGCAAUGCAGACCGCAGUAAAGUCUAGUAAUUCAACUUUCUCUCUUUGGUCUCUUUCUUUCUCUCUUACGACGUCGCGCGCAUUUGCUACUUUCAGAACCUUGAAAGUUUUUAAAAAUAAAAAGAUAUAUAUCACCGUGUAAUUUCAUGCUGUUUUACACCGCGAUAGUUGUUUCAUCUCGAAUUCAGAACCAUCUAGCUAGCAAGAAAAAUUAUUUUUUUCAGACUGAGUCUACCAACUUUGUACUGAACUUCCAGGGAUUAAGAGCUACGAAAAAGCUGUGCUUUAAAUUCUUGAAACAAGGUAUAAUUUGGAUUAUACUACAGCACGGAACGCUGCAGUUAACUUAGCAUCGCGAUUACCCGCAUUUGGCUACAAACUACAAGCAGUUCCUGAAACUUUACACUUUUCUGUUAAUUAUUAAUCCACUGGCGAUGGCUGGAUAAAGUGUACUUUUAUGUACGUGCACAUAUCACCCAUGCCAGGGGUUAAUUUUUAUCCAUCUUUGUUGACCAAUAAUUGCCUGACCGGGUCACAUGCAUGCGCUACUGAACGUCAAGACUGAGUUUUGUCUUUAAAAGUAAAUAUUGAAAACUGCGAGCUUAAUGUCAUCUACUGAAGGAUUUUCACAAGUAAUUUGAAUGAACAGAGAUUUGAAAUUGCAAAGGUUACAGAAACAAAGGAAAUAUAAGAUUGAAAAAGUAUAAAGAUUGGCAAAAGUAUUUCCAGAUAAAAUAAAAGUGAUCGAACAGCCGAGACAAAUGAUAAGUGGACACGCGAUAAAUGGGUGCGAGGAUACCACGGUAAAAUUCACCAAAAUUGGACGAGUGAAAUAUAAAUAUUGAAAUAAAUAUUUCAAGCAGUAAAUCAUCUAUAGAAACAAAUAUCCGAGGUAAGAGGAAGAAGAAAUGGAAUUUAUAAAAGCAUUUGGUAGCACUCGCUCGUGUGAUUGCAUCACUCCCACGAGUCUAGUGCGCUAGAGGAAGCACCACGUCAUCUUGUAGAGUGUUAUCGCAACCUGCUGCUUUCCGUGAGCAAACUUUCUUCUCACCGACUAAAAUUUCUUCUUUUAGCAGGUAGUACUAUUACUUCUUAGGAUUUCUCGAUAGUGGCGUCAGUCGAUACCAAACAAGGGAUGCCGAGGCUUGGCUCUAUUAAUUCUAUCUUUCCUGGCUGGGGUGCUGUAGAAUGCUCUGCAAAUAUUAUAAUUAACCACCCGACACUCGAGCCGUGUACAAUCACUUAAUCUUGUAAUUAAAUUAACAGUCUUCACUUCCGCUUUUCUCAUCGAUUAAUUUAUGCAGAUAAAGUCAAAAAAUUUGUCUUAAUAAUUACAAGUAGUUUUUUAAUUAAUCAGCGAUGAAGAAAUAAAAUUACCUAUGCUCUUAAUU